RNAcentral lists this long non-coding RNA (4844 nucleotides) under Homo sapiens (human). Its description in RNAcentral is "HSALNT0284613". The record is from RNAcentral. Lineage: Eukaryota; Metazoa; Chordata; Mammalia; Primates; Hominidae.
UUUUUGUAUAAUACAUCAUUUAAUAUAUUUGAUCUUUGUACUCAGUUCUUGGCACAGAUCAUUGGCACUUCCUGAGUGAUAGUAGUGCCUUUUGUUAUUCAUAAUGAAUCCCUUUUAACAUCAUCUGCGUUUAUGCUAAUGAAAUGACUAAGCAUGGGGUCCCAAAUAGCUUUAGGUAGGGGGUUAGUCACUAGAAAGACAAAAACUCAUGAUUAGAGGGUUAGAAUUUUCAGUCCCAUCUCCUAACAACUGGGGAGGGAAUGGAGGCUGAGUUUGAGUUCUAUAAAAACUCUUGGACAAUAGGAUUCAGAGAGCUUUGGAGUUGCUGAACACAUUGAAAUGCUAGGAGAAUGGUGCAUUCAUAAUGGGAAUGGAAGCUCCAUAUCCCCUCUCCCAUAACUUGCCCCAUGUAUUUCUUCCAGUUAGCUAUUUCCAUUUUGUAGCCUUCAUAAUAAACCAGUACACCUAACUAAACUAUUAUCUUGAGUUCUGUGGGUUGUUCUACUCAAUUAUCAAACCUGAGGAGGUAUUUGGAGUUGUGGAAACUCCUGAAUUUAUAGCUAGUUGGUCAGAAGUAUAGGUGGUUCUUAGGACUUGUAACUGGUAUCUGAAGUUGGGGAAGUCUUGUGGGACUAAGCCCUUAACCUGUUGUUUAUGUGCUAACUCUGGGAGUUAGCUUCAGAAUUAACCUGAAUUAUUGGACACCCAGUUGGUGUCAGAGAAUUGGUUAUUGGUGUCAGAAUAAAACAUGUACACAUUUGGUUUCAGAAGUGGUGUCGGAGAAAACACCACCAAGAUCUUGUCCUUUUUUCUUGGAAGACAUAAAAAAAAGAUUCCCUUUACCAUCAGUUAGUACCCCUAUUGAUCCAGGGGGCUUACCUGGUGAGAUGACCAUACUCUCUUCAAUGGACUGAAUGUGUUCCUCCAAAAUUCGUAAGUUGAAUUCCUAACCCCAGUCACUUGUGUGACUGUAUUUGAACAUAGGGCCUUCAGGAGGUAAUUAAAAUGAAAUGAGGUCAUAAGCAUAGGGCCUGAUAUGGUUUGGCUAUGUGUCCCCACCCAAAUCUCAUGUCUAAUUGUAAUACCCACAUGUCAGGGGAGGGGUCUGGUGGGAGGUGAUUGAAUCAUGGGGCAGACUUCCUCCUUGCUAUUCUUGUGAUAGAGUUCUCACGAGAUCUGUUUGAUUGAAAGUGUGUAGCACUUCCCCCUUCACACUCUGUCUGCUGCUUGGACAUGUGAAGAUGUGUUCACUUCCUUUUUGCCUUCUGCCAUGAUUGUAAGUUUCAGAGGCCUCCUGGUCAUACUUCCUGCUAAGCCUGUGAAACUGUGAGUCAAACCUCUUUUCUUCAUAAAUUACCCAGUCUUGGGUAGUUCCUUAUAGCAAUGUGAGAACAGACUAAUACAGGGCCCUAAUCUGAUAAGAUUGCUGGCCCUAUAAGAAGAGGAAGAGAGGAGAUUUCUUUCACUUUUCAUGCACUUACACCAACGGAAAGAUAUGUGAGAACAAAGAGGCUGUCUGCAAGCCAGAAAGGAAGGCCUUAUCAGAAACUAAACUUUUCCAGACCUUGAUCUGGGAGUUCUAGCCUCGAGAAUUAUGAGGAAAUAAAUUUUUGUUGUUUAAGCCAUCUAGACUGUGAUAUUUUGUUAAUACAGCUCAAGAAGACCAAAACACUCUCAUCCCCAAGGGUUCUGAGUCCCAUGUCACUGUCUUAGUCCAUUUGUGCUAGUAUAACAAAAUACAAGAGACUGGGUAAUUUAUAAUAAACAGAAAUUAAUUUUUUUACAGUUUUGGAGGCCAGGAAGUCCAAAGAUCAAGGUGGUGGCAUACAGUGUCUGCUGAGGGCCUUCUUGCUGAUCCUCCCAUGGUGGGAGGUGGAAGGGCAAAAAAGGGGACGAAUGCUGUGUCCUCACAUAUUAGAAUAGCAGAAGAACCAAAAUGGGCCUAAGCUAGUUCCCUCCAACCCUUUUAUUAUCCAUUUGUGAGGGCAAAGCUCUCAGCUCUCAUGACUUAAUCACUUCUCCAAAGGCCCCAUCUCAAUACCAUGACAAUGGGGAUUAAAUUUCAAUGUGAAUUUUGGAGGAGACACAUUUAAGCCAUAGCAGUCACUAUGCCUUUCUCAGGUCAUGGCUUCUGCCCUUGUCCAUUUACUACAAUACUGGGCAGGAGAGUACAAAUAGACAAUGGAUAAAUAGAAUCCCAAAUGUAUUCUUCCCUGUUCCCAUUAUGUAAUAGCUAUCCUAUCUCCUCCAGGUUAUCAAAGUCAAAUACCCCUGCCAAUAUGGUGACUAAUUUUUUUGCUUGUUGGUCUCUUGGUUCUCAGAGCCUAAAGUUACCAGAGGGCAGCUGUAACUUAAAGUUAAUAAGGAUUUUUACUAUAUCCCUGGUUUAAGCACAUUCUCCCUUGGAACCAGGAUUUCUAGACCCCUGAAAAUUUCUAUGUCCUAAUCCCUAGUCACUGUGACUAUGUUACAUUACAUGGCAAAUGGAACUUUACAGAUGUAAUUAAGGUUACUAAUCAGCCGACCUUAAGAGAGAGAAAUUAUUCUGGUAGCCAGGUAGGCCCAAACUAAUCACAUGGAUUCUUAAAAGCAGGAAAGUGUUCUUGGGAGGCUGAGGCAGGAGAAUGGCAUGAACCCGGGAGGUGGAGCUUGCAGUGAGCCGAGAUCAUGCCACUGCACUCCAGCCUGGGCAACAGAGCAAGACUCCAUCUCAAAAAAAAAAAAAAAAAAAAAAAAAAGAAGAGAUGCAUUAGAAGAAAAAGUCAGAGAUUUAAAGCAUGAGAAGGACCUGAUACGCUGUUGCUGGUUUUAAGAUGGAGGAGGCAACAUGAUGAGGAAUGCAGGUGACCUUAAUGAGUGGAAACAGGUUUCCAGCUGAGAGCCAGCAAUGAAAUGAGGACCCCAGGCCUACAUCCAUAAAGAACUAAAUUCAUCCAACAACCUCAAAAUCUUGGUAGUAGAUUCUACUCCAGAACCUUGAGAUAAGAUGCCACAUCAGUCGAUACCUUGAUAUCAGCUUUAUGAGACCCUUGACAGAAAGAGCCAACCAUAACAUCUUAGCUACAGAACUAUGGGUUAACAUUUGUGUCAUUUUUAGCUGCUAAGUUUGUGGAAAUUUGUUACAGCAGCAAUAGGAAAUGAAUGCAUCCACAGAGCCUGAAGUUGCAGAGAUAAGAAGCACACAUUGCCAAGUGGGUCAAUGAGGGUGAUUAUAAGCAGGGCCAUUCCUACUUUUACCUCUGGGCUCUCAGAGACAUGUAUGAUACAUACUGGGGAGAUGGCAUUAUAUAAAGGUCAUUUAAUUAGGUUACAUACCAUAUCCUUGUGGGUUGUACCCCAUCCUUUUAAGAUAUGGUCUCAAGCUGGCUUCUCAAUUGAUUCUUUAUUAUUACAUCAAUUUAUAGGUGAGCAGCAUCUAAAUUAUGCAGUAUGUCAUAGGAUCAGAGAAUCUCAUGGAUAUAAGCCCACUACUAAAAUCCCUUUUUUGUAAAGCUGGUCCCUUGAUCUCCAACAAAAUUGUGUGGUAUCCUAUUGAGGCAGCAAGCGCUCUGUAAGUUCCCAGGUAGUCAUGCUGGCCAAGGGAAGAAAGGAAAGCUCAUAGCUAGGAUAUAUGCCAAUUCCAAUAAUAAAGAGAAUUGCCUCCACAAUCCAGGAUGGAAGGCAUCUGAUGUAAUUUCCUUGCCACCAAGUGGCUGAUUGGUCUCCUUGAGGGAAAGUGCCAUGAUAGUGACUCAGAUAUAGUCUCUGUUUAUAGCUGGGGUUCUACGUUUGGCGGCAGUGGUAGCUAGAUCAGUCUUGGUUAGUGAGACUCAAUGAUGUUUAGCCCAUGCUUAGCCUCCAUACUUGUGAUGAGGGUUUUUUCAUGCAUAUGCCCAUUGUACCAGACUGGAGUAGCCUAAUUGGCCUAAUUAUGUUUUCUCUUGUUAUUUAGUGCCUCUUUCAUGCUCUCUGGUAAGUGUUAAAAUGCAAAACAGUAUCUUCACAUUGCACGCCAAUUCCCAUAAGUCAAUCCACUAUGUUUCUUACACUGACCUCUUUAUCCUUGAUUUUUCAAUCUUUUUUCUUCUAGGUUCCUGACCAAACAGCCAAGCCAUUUUCUGCUGCCUGUAAGUUCACAUACAUUCUAACUUCUGGCCAAUUUUUUUCUCACAAAUUGGAUAAUCUGUUGCAUCACAAGGAAUUCUGGCCACUGGAAGGAUUUUUCUUCAUGACUAUCCUUUAAAGCCACCCCUGAGUAGGGCUCUCGAGCAGCCAGAGUUCAUUUUCAGCUUCCACCCAUAUAUUAAGCUGAUCCAGUCAUGAACUAAGCUUAGCGUUUUUCUUUUUCCAUUAGCCGAUCAUAAGGGACUGUCUCCAUCUGACUAUAGGGGUGAACUUAGAAGAGAAACUAGUGUAACAUAGCAGAUGAUUUGGGGGUAAAGACCACUUGCUCUUGCAAUUUACAAUUGACUUUUGACCCUGCUAGUGCUUGAUCCUGGAUGUACUGCCUCCAACUAAUGAUGGACUGAUCUUGAUUCUGCCUGACAUUAAGACUUGUUUGAUGUGAGAGAACCCAGAUCCUGAUGAGCAGUUUUGGAUGCAUUUACAACUUUCAAAACAUGCCCUCAGGUGAGGAAUGGGCCUGUGGUAGAGAUAGAACACCUGACCACAAUCUCCAUGAGUUUGUUCUCCACAUAGCUGCUAAAAGAUGAUUUAACGGUGCUAUGGUCUGAAUAUGUUUAUCACCUCCAUAUUUGUAUAUUGAAAUCCUAACCUCAAGAUCGAGACCAUCCUGGCUAACAUGGUGAAACCCCAUCUCUACUAAAAAUAAAAAAAAAAUUAGCCAGGCGUGGUGGUGGGCACCU